This is a long non-coding RNA of Mesoplodon densirostris (Blainville's beaked whale), 922 nucleotides long. RefSeq lists it as uncharacterized. The record is from RefSeq and is a predicted model, not a curated record. Lineage: Eukaryota; Metazoa; Chordata; Mammalia; Artiodactyla; Ziphiidae. The transcript has 5 exons.
UCUGAGCGCAGCUGAGGGGAGUUGUGUCUCCUCGGGCACCGCCGGGGCUGCGGCUGGGACGCUGGGCUCAGCGUCUUUGCUGACAGGAGCUCGGUCUUCUCAGGACUCGCUGGGGUUUCGGCUUCAGGACAAAGUGGGGCUGCGUCCACGCUGACGGGAGCUGGGUUUCCUGAGGACGCCGGCAACGCCGGCGGAAAAGGGGAGGAAAAACUUCAUUUCUAUUUUUGCUACAAGACUCUGGAGGAGCAGGUGACAGUCACUGGGGCACAAGGUCAUCCACAGGACCCAAGACAUGGUAGCUACUAAUAUACUCUUCCCAUGGUGCCUGUUAAUACCAUGCGGACUCCUACAAGGGAAAUAAGUAUCACAACUUUGGUUGAACUUGGUCUGGUCUCAGAUGUACCUCAUGGUCACCACUCACAGUUCCCGCAGAGCCCAGAGAUUUCUCCUUGAAGGAAAGGUUCUGGAAAAUCAGAGGGAUAAAUAAAGAAUGCAGCUGAUUCCCGCCUUGUGCUGACACCCAAGAGGGUGAGGAGAAGUUUUCAGAUUGCUUUCCCCACAGGUCCGUGGGCAGCAAAUAAACCCACCCAUUACGAAGCGGCAGCUGAAAGUCCUAAAUGGUUUGGUCAGUAACAGCCAGGAGCUGAGAACGCUCUGUGCCAGGAGAGCCUGCGUGGUUGACAAAGCCAUUAGUAGCCCUUCCCUGAUGCAGAGCGUCAUCGUCAUGCUUUAUCCAAUUACUCAGAAUAUAUCAGAAGCAAGGUGCCAGUGCUAUUUUACGAAGAAUUAGAAUCCUAAACUACAAGUUAAAAGGCUGUUCUCUGGUUUACUCUCUUCCAUGUGGAGGGUUGGCUGAGGCCAUGGAAGUGAAUGUGGUCUGCUUACCUGGUUUCAAAUGUAGCUUCAGACAAAAAUAAAGAUA